UACGGGGGGGGCAAGCGUUGUUCGGAAUUACUGGGCGUAAAGGGUUCGUAGGUGGCUCGCUAAGUCAGACGUGAAAUCCCUCAGCUUAACUGGGGAACUGCGUCUGAGACUGGCGAGCUCGAGUGCAGGAGAGGAACGCGGAAUUCCAGGUGUAGCGGUGAAAUGCGUAGAUAUCUGGAGGAACACCGGUGGCGAAGGCGGAUCUCUGGGCCUUACCUGACGCUCAGGCACGAAAGCUAGGGGAGCGAACAGG
This 253-nucleotide ribosomal RNA is filed under the name uncultured bacterium. RNAcentral's name for it is "partial 16S ribosomal RNA". It matches the Rfam family "Bacterial small subunit ribosomal RNA", at positions 524 to 776 of the family's 1533-position model. The record is from RNAcentral.